GGCGCUGUUCAUCGUCCCGACACUUGGGCGGAGUUGAAAUCCGUGUAGGUCGGUUCGACUCCGGCUCGCGCCUCCA
Molecule: transfer RNA, 76 nt
Filed under: Accumulibacter sp.
Lineage: Bacteria; Pseudomonadati; Pseudomonadota; Betaproteobacteria
Description: tRNA-Ser
Source: RNAcentral